UUACUUUUCAUAGUAGUUGAGAAGUUUAUCUGGAAUUCUAAGUAACAGUUUUCCUGCAUUAUGAAACAAGAGCCUCCUCUCAACCAUUACACUCUGGGUGUGUUGACCCCAGUGAUUUCCCCAAAUACGGAAAACUCAACACUGCAUAAUUUGUGGCAGUGGGGCACCGUGUUUGUGCUCUCCCCUG
RNAcentral lists this small nuclear RNA (187 nucleotides) under Nannospalax galili (Upper Galilee mountains blind mole rat). Its description in RNAcentral is "U1 spliceosomal RNA (ENSNGAG00000003864.1)". It matches the Rfam family "U1 spliceosomal RNA". From Rfam's summary of the family: U1 is a small nuclear RNA (snRNA) component of the spliceosome (involved in pre-mRNA splicing). Its 5' end forms complementary base pairs with the 5' splice junction, thus defining the 5' donor site of an intron. Lineage: Eukaryota; Metazoa; Chordata; Mammalia; Rodentia; Spalacidae. The record is from RNAcentral.